RNAcentral lists this ribosomal RNA (501 nucleotides) under uncultured bacterium. Its description in RNAcentral is "partial 16S ribosomal RNA". It matches the Rfam family "Bacterial small subunit ribosomal RNA", at positions 30 to 523 of the family's 1533-position model. The record is from RNAcentral.
AUUGAACGCUGGCGGCAGGCUUAACACAUGCAAGUCGAGCGGAGAUGAGGUGCUUGCACCUUAUCUUAGCGGCGGACGGGUGAGUAAUGCUUAGGAAUCUGCCUAUUAGUGGGGGACAACAUUCCGAAAGGAAUGCUAAUACCGCAUACGUCCUACGGGAGAAAGCAGGGGAUCUUCGGGCCUUGCGCUAAUAGAUGAGCCUAAGUCGGAUUAGCUAGUUGGUGGGGUAAAGGCCUACCAAGGCGACGAUCUGUAGCGGGUCUGAGAGGAUGAUCCGCCACACUGGGACUGAGGCACGGACCAGACUACUACGGGGGGCAGCAGUGGGGAAUAUUGGACAAUGGGGGGAACCCUGAUCCAGCCAUGCCGCGUGUGUGAAGAAGGCCUUAUGGUUGUAAAGCACUUUAAGCGAGGAGGAGGCUACUGAGACUAAUACUCUUGGAUAGUGGACGUUACUCGCAGAAUAAGCACCGGCUAACUCUGUGCCAGCCGCCGCGGUAA